AAGGUUUUAGCUUAUUUAAAAGUAACUGUUUUGCAGACAGUAGAUAACAUCAUUUGUUAAGUCUUA
This 66-nucleotide transfer RNA is filed under the name Halocynthia aurantium. RNAcentral describes it as "tRNA-Ala". Lineage: Eukaryota; Metazoa; Chordata; Ascidiacea; Stolidobranchia; Pyuridae. The record is from RNAcentral.